CGGAACUUUGUGCGUGCGGCGUAUGUGUGCGGGUUGCGUGAUGAGUUUGCUGCGUUUUCUGUGCCCUUUGCCUCGCUGUGACAUCUUUGGUAUAUUACAACUUAUUGUUCGGUCUUUAUGGGCUACACGGUGCCUCGAAGAUCACCAUGAUCGCCUCCGACUCAGCCACAUCGAAGAAUCAAAAUGAGCCUGGAGACGCCACAGCCGGAAUGCAAAAGGUUGGAGAGGUGCUCAUUCAGAUGAUCCUGGCACAGCUUGCCAUGGUGGACCAGGCAAGUUUGCAAGGGCCUUGAUUCACCAUGUGUUCACUGAGGAGAACCUCAUGGGCCACUUACUUCUCGGAAACACCACCACCAUUAGGCAAAAAGAGGCUCUUGGCCUUAUCAGGGUCAACGCUGUUAUAGGCAAGUACCGUACAUCUUUUUACCCAUUGCAUUUUUGCCUUCACAUUUUGUGCUUGGAAUUACCAGCUUGCUAUUAGUACAACAAAUGACUUUCAAGUAGCCUGUGUCUGCAACUACGUGCUACAAUAGCCUACUAUUUGGAAUGAAUGUUCAUUUGAUCUCAGGUCUCUAACGCCUCCAUACUAAAGUGCUAAAUUUUAAAAGCAGCCUUAACUGCCAGAAGUGAUUGGUGGCUCCAACUGACAAAGUUAGGUGUAUUUGCGCAUUAGUUGCACUACUUGACUGUCAUUGCAAUGAACAGUUGCAAUGAAGCAACUACCAAUCUGUAGUACCAAUCUGUGAAGCUUGCUACCAAUCUGUUGCUAUAGCGGGUGUGCUUAAGUAGCCUGAAAGUGUUGUUAUAGGAAUUGUGGAGAAGCUAUGCUCAAGUGCAGUUACUGCUCAGCUCGAGGGACAGCACUUCCACCAAAUUUCAGCAAUCAAAAUGGC
Molecule: long non-coding RNA, 893 nt
Organism: Dermacentor silvarum
Lineage: Eukaryota; Metazoa; Arthropoda; Arachnida; Ixodida; Ixodidae
Exons: 3
Source: RefSeq, a predicted model, not a curated record